GACGAACGCUGGCGGCGUGCUUAACACAUGCAAGUCGAACGGAAAGGCCCUGCUUUUGUGGGGUGCUCGAGUGGCGAACGGGUGAGUAACACGUGAGUAACCUGCCCUUGACUUUGGGAUAACUUCAGGAAACUGGGGCUAAUACCGGAUAGGAGCUCCUGCUGCAUGGUGGGGGUUGGAAAGUUUCGGCGGUUGGGGAUGGACUCGCGGCUUAUCAGCUUGUUGGUGGGGUAGUGGCUUACCAAGGCUUUGACGGGUAGCCGGCCUGAGAGGGUGACCGGCCACAUUGGGACUGGGAUACCGCCCAGACUCCUACGGGAGGCAGCAGUGGGGAAUAUUGCACAAUGGGCGGAAGCCUGAUGCAGCAACGCCGCGUGCGGGAUGACGGCCUUCGGGUUGUAAACCGCUUUCGCCUGUGACGAAGCGUGAGUGACGGUAAUGGGUAAAGAAGCACCGGCUAACUACGUG
Molecule: ribosomal RNA, 468 nt
Filed under: uncultured bacterium
Lineage: Bacteria
Description: partial 16S ribosomal RNA
Rfam family: Bacterial small subunit ribosomal RNA
Source: RNAcentral